Molecule: non-coding RNA, 90 nt
Organism: Mycena sp. CBHHK59/15
Lineage: Eukaryota; Fungi; Basidiomycota; Agaricomycetes; Agaricales; Mycenaceae
Source: the annotation of a GenBank genome assembly
GCGUCGGUGGUGCACGGUGCACGCCUCCCAAAAAUGUUCGGGCAUCGAAGGUUGAAGGAAGAGAUCGGGGUUCGACUCCCCGCCGACGCA